UAUGUGAUCGUCUCUCGCAUAUCAAUAAGCGGAGGAAAAGAAACUAACAAGGAUUCCCCUAGUAACGGCGAGUGAAGCGGGAAGAGCUCAAAUUUGAAAUCUUAAAGGGUUCCCUUUACGAAUUGUAGUUUAAAGAAGUGUUUUCUGUUGAGGUUUUGGUAAAAGUUCUUUGGAAUAGGACAUCAUAGAGGGUGAGAAUCCCGUAUUUGACCUUUACUUUCAACUUUGUGAUACACUUUCAAAGAGUCGGAUUGUUUGGGAAUGCAGUCCAAAAUGGGUGGUAAAUUUCAUCUAAAGCUAAAUAUUGGCGAGAGACCGAUAGCGAACAAGUACCGUGAGGGAAAGAUGAAAAGAACUUUGAAAAGAGAGUUAAACAGUACGUGAAAUUGUCAAAAGGGAAGCGUUUGACACCAGUGUUGUUUUUCUGAAAAUCAAUUAAAGAACUGUUUAUGCUAAGUUGUUUAGACUUUAUCAGCUAACUGUUUAGUUUUGAGCUUUUCUUUAAUGCACUUUUCAGUUAACAAGUCAACAUCAAUUUCUUUUGCUGUAAAAAAGCUUGAGGAAGGUGGCUUGAGAUUCGUCUUAAGUGUUUAUAGCCUCUUGCCUAUGCAGUCGGAGAGAUUGAGGUCUGCAGUGUAAAUCCUUCGGGGCUAAAUGCAUUUGUGCUAAGUUAUAGCAUUUCAUAGACAACUUGUUGACUAUGAUUUGUCUUGUAGCUUACUCGCUUAUGUUAUUUUACCUACGCUUAGGAUGUUGAUCUACAGAGCGAGAGU
This 773-nucleotide ribosomal RNA is filed under the name uncultured Neocallimastigales. Its description in RNAcentral is "partial large subunit ribosomal RNA". It matches the Rfam family "Eukaryotic large subunit ribosomal RNA", at positions 24 to 631 of the family's 3401-position model. The record is from RNAcentral. Lineage: Eukaryota; Fungi; Neocallimastigomycota; Neocallimastigomycetes; Neocallimastigales.